Molecule: long non-coding RNA, 726 nt
Organism: Papaver somniferum (opium poppy)
Lineage: Eukaryota; Viridiplantae; Streptophyta; Magnoliopsida; Ranunculales; Papaveraceae
Exons: 5
Source: RefSeq, a predicted model, not a curated record
GGAAUCCUCAGGCUGAUUUACAAGCCAUGACUAGAGCUCACUGGCUCGGUCAGACCAAAGGUAAUGAUUUAUCGGCUGAUAACUAGAGGAACUAUCGAGGAAAUAAUGAUGCAGCUGACUAAAAAGAAAUUGUUUUGGAGCAUCUGGUUUUGGGGAAACUCAAAGCACAAAAUAUAAAUCAGGAAGAGCUGGACGACAUCAUAAGAUAUGUGCCUCGAAAGAGCUUUUUGUGGAUGAGAGUGAUGAAGCUAGAAAGUUCGUCUAAUACACUAUGAUGGUGCUGCAAUGGAUAGAAUGCUGGAUCGUGAUCGAGUUGGAGUGAAAGAGGCUACAGUAAAUGACGCGGUAGAUGAUGGCAUCCUUCUAAAAUCCUUCAAGCUUCACCAACUUGUGAAAGUCGAGGCAAUAAACUUUCUUCAAUAGCGGAAGGAGCAUAAGAUGAAAAAAAUAUGAAACAGCAGCAAAACGCCUGGAUAAUGCACAGCUUGUAGGGUCUCUCGCUCUAUUUUUUAGUUAUUUUUUUUUGUCACUUCUAGUUUUUACUCUACAGAAUUAUAGGUAUUUGAUGCUCAGCAUUGUAUCUUGGCUCAUUUAUUCACAUUAACAUCUCUGCAGUGUUUUUACGUAAACCAUUUCUGCAGUGUGUUUACAUAAACCAUUUAUGAAGUACACUAUAGUAAUAUUUAAAAUUCACAGAUAUUUUUUACCCUUUUAUGGUACUUUAAA